GUUAGCGUAGGGUGGGGAGGCUGAUUUCAGUAUCGCGCUACAGCAGCAGGCUAAAGUCAGUGAGCAGCUCUACCUCGGAGAAGCGGAAGUCCCAUCUGUUACGAAUCUGCGGGAGUUCAGAGAGGCGGGACUGUGCAGGUGUGUGAUGUCGGGCAGUGAAACAUGGAAGAUUUAAAAGGAACACAGCCUUAUACAGCUGGCAGCGUCGUCGGCGGGCUGCAGAGUGAAGGCCUAAAGGCUUUGGCGAAACGGGCGAGGUGAAGUAGAGUGAAGAAGUUCCUCCUUCAAGUUGGAAUUGCUCUCAGAACUGGCAUGGACACGACAGUUUGAUAUGGCCUCUUGUGUCAUAAUAAGUCAGUCAAGUCCAGAUCCAUUACUCCCAGUUGAAGGAAGGUCAGUGAGCCCUGGUGGGCAGAGGAAAAGUUCCAAAGAUUAUAUCAAGAUCAUCCUGAAGAAAUUCAACAUUACAUCUAAAAACUGAAGACACUCCACUCAAUAGCUUGACCUGGAGGAAAUCUGUUCAAGAGGGAGCUAUGCUCCAUGAGAAUGACCCCCGCUGUGCCACAGAGAACAAGCAACAGCUGCAAAAGGAGAGCCUGAAUAAUCACUAACCAAAACCACCACUUAUUCUUGUCCGCACUACCCCAAAAUCUGUGGAUCCUAAGCCAGCUGAGGACCCACCAAUAGACAACCCCUUAGGAGAUCCUCAUACUCAACUCAAUUGAUCAGACGACUACCACUACUAUUUCAUUCUAUGUUUCAGUGUGCAUGUGAUAAAUAAAUGAAGGUGGCCUCUCUGGGUCCAAUCAAAGGUGUAAUUGUUCAAGGAAAUGUGCGGUCCACAAACUGUGCGAGUGAUUGUUUUUGGGUGUUUUUCUUCAGAUCACAAGACCCUGUUGGACAUUGGUAAUGUAAAAUACUGCAAGUCCUGUUCGCUGGUUCAUUGAUGAGACCGAUGGUGGGGAAGCUGCAUGGCCUCAGUUGUUGCAUGGUCCAGGCCUUCAUUCAUACUGCCUGUUGCCUGUUGCAGCCACCCAGGGUAGGAGACACCACAGACAGUGUGGCACAGCAGGCAUCCGUUCUGGCUCGUUCCAUUGCUGCUGCUCUCCAGUGUUCACUCAGUGGAAGACAUUCUGGAUUGUGUUCGUCUGCGGUGGAACUGCUGCGUGCUUGUUCUUGCGGAAACAUGGCUCCAGGACAACAUCUGUGCACCAUCAAUCUGGCUAUGACACUCAGGAACUUGGGCUAUGUUUUUUACUGCUAUCAUAAUUAUAUAUGCUACAUGUGCUGUGUGUGACAGUUGGUACUGUGUGUGGUACAUUGGUCCCAGAGGAAUGCUGUUUUGUUUGGCUGUAUUCAUGAGUACAGUUGAGUGAAUUAAAUUUGAACUUCAACUUGAACUUGAAAUAAUUCUAGAGAUGAAUUUGCCUAUAUUAUGCUCGUGUAUCUCC
This is a long non-coding RNA of Mobula hypostoma (lesser devil ray), 1451 nucleotides long. RefSeq lists it as uncharacterized. The transcript is spliced from 4 exons. The record is from RefSeq and is a predicted model, not a curated record. Lineage: Eukaryota; Metazoa; Chordata; Chondrichthyes; Myliobatiformes; Myliobatidae.